GUGAACAUGUGCAUCUUACAC
Molecule: non-coding RNA, 21 nt
Filed under: Arabidopsis thaliana (thale cress)
Lineage: Eukaryota; Viridiplantae; Streptophyta; Magnoliopsida; Brassicales; Brassicaceae
Source: RNAcentral